Macadamia integrifolia is the source of this 2202-nucleotide RNA transcript. It is a transcript of the gene named intermediate cleaving peptidase 55, mitochondrial, with no coding region annotated. NCBI's taxonomy places the organism in Eukaryota, Viridiplantae, Streptophyta, Magnoliopsida, Proteales, Proteaceae. The record is from RefSeq and is a predicted model, not a curated record. The transcript is spliced from 15 exons.
UGGAUUCACAUAUAAUUUCGAUAAACUACGGGGAAGGGACGUAAUUUCCCUUUUGUUUUUGGAACUCGGAGAAAAGUUUAGAAAGAGAAGCGAUUUAUAACUUACGGGGGACAGAGCAGAGCCAGAGCAGAGGGAAAACCGCAAAGAGAGAAGAAGAGGAUUAGAGGAAGGGCGGGAAGCAACGAUGCCGGGACUGGGUAGACACUUACUGAAGAGAAUCUCAUUCAAACAGCGUAGUGGGUCCUGCGGAUAUUCUACCAGGAAGUUGGUCAAUGUGGGGCAGCCAACUGCUGCAUCUCACCCUCAGUUGGUAAAGAAAGGAGAGAUUAUGCCUGGCAUCACUGGUGAUGAGUACAUCUCAAGAAGGAAACAAUUGCUGGAGCUUCUUCCAGAAAAGAGUUUAGCCAUUAUUGCGGCUGCUCCUGUAAAAAUGAUGACUGAUGUUGUGCCUUAUACAUUCAGACAGGAUGCUGAUUAUUUGUUUAUCACCGGUUGCCAACAACCUGGUGGUAUAGCUGUCCUAGGUCAGGAAUGUGGAUUAUGCAUGUUUAUGCCAGAUCUAGAUCCUCACGAUGUCAUUUGGCAAGGAGAAAUUGCUGGAGUUGAUGCGGCUUUGAGCACAUUCAAGGCUGAGCAGGCGUUCUCUAUAAGUGAAAUGCGUAAGAUUCUUCCAACAAUGAUCCAAAGAUCGUCCAAAUUGUUCCAUAAUGUGAAAACAGCUUCGCCAGCUUAUAUGGACUUGGAGGCCUUGCGCAGUGCAGCUUUCAGUGGAAAAAUGAAAGAUCUUUCUGCUUAUACCCAUGAAUUGAGGUGGAUGAAAUCACCAUCAGAAAUUAGGCUGAUGAGAGAAUCUGCUUCAAUUGCUUGCCAGGCUCUUUUACAGACCAUGAUCCUAUCAAAAACAUUAGCUGAUGAGGGCAUGCUAUCAGCUAAGUUUGAAUAUGAAUGCAGGAUGAGAGGUGCUCAAAGAAUGGCGUUCAAUCCAGUUGUUGGUGGUGGACCGAAUGGUAGUGUUAUACACUAUUCUCGAAACGAUCAGAAAAUCAAAGAUGGCGACCUUGUUCUAAUGGAUGUUGGUUGUGAGUUGCAUGGUUAUGUCAGCGAUAUGACUCGGACCUGGCCACCCUGUGGCAGCUUUUCAUCAGCUCAAGAAGAGCUAUAUGAUCUAAUUCUGGAGGUGAACAAGGAAUGUGUGAAGCUUUGCCAACCUGGUACGAGUAUUCAGCAGAUACAUAACCAUUCGGUUGAAAUGCUGCAAAGAGGACUUAAAGAAAUGGGAAUCUUGAAAGAUGAGCGAAGAACCUCUCAAACUUAUCAUCAGCUGAACCCAACUUCUAUAGGUCAUUAUCUAGGAAUGGAUGUUCAUGACUGUUCCAUGGUUAGCAAUGACCGUUCUUUGAAGCCAGGUGUUGUAAUAACUAUUGAACCGGGAGUUUAUAUCCCAAAUUCUUUUGAUGGUCCAGAGAGAUACCAAGGCAUUGGCAUAAGGAUAGAAGAUGAAGUCCUUAUUACUGAAACUGGGCAUGAGGUUCUUACAGGGUCAAUGCCCAAAGAGAUACAACACAUGAAGUCCUUGCUAAAUAAUUAUAGCUGCAACAAAGGGAUGGAAGCCCAUAGUCAUAUGAGAGCCGCAUCCAGUUGAAGAUCCCAUGGUACUUCACAGUGGCAAGCCAGAUGAUUUUCUUUUUGCCUUUUCCUUUUUGAAGUUUCUCUUUGGUUUCAAAUCCAACAGAAAAGGAUGAUUUUACCAGGUUCUACCGUAAUCUAUGCAUGAGUCGGUUACAGGAAUUGCAGAUUUGCAGCAGAAGCAGAAGUGAAAGAUCAUCAGGCGGCUGUGUCUGGCAAAACACCUUAGUUUCAAGAAAAAACAACAAUCUACAGGGAUUGCCUCGAGUCAGUAAACAGUUUUGAGGGAGAGGGUUCUCUGAUCAAGCCGGGUUCACAACCCUCUCACAUUUGUUUAUUUAAUUCAUUUUAAUCUCUCCUUAAAACAAUUGAUACAAUAUUGAAUGUGAAGAGGCGCAGCGUACGCCAUAGCCUCUGCGAGACUUUUCCUACAGUUUAAAUACUAAUGACCAUGGAGGAUGGGAUGGGAGGUUAUUCUCUUUUGUAUCAUUUGUACUGUAGCAUUAAGGAGUUUGGUACUUUCUCUAUUUCCACCCUAACUGAAGUGUGCAAUGGAUGGCUAUUCACCAUUUCCUG